RNAcentral lists this long non-coding RNA (5174 nucleotides) under Ananas comosus (pineapple). Its description in RNAcentral is "long non-coding RNA (ACOM_LNC008188)". The record is from RNAcentral. Lineage: Eukaryota; Viridiplantae; Streptophyta; Magnoliopsida; Poales; Bromeliaceae.
UUCAUCGUAUACUUUAGAAAAAAAAUUCAAUGAUUUUACACUUACUAACUUUAUUAUCUUGUGGUUUAAAAGUGUAUCAAUUUAGUACUCUGUGAUUUCAAUUUUAUUUUUUAUCAUCGAUUCUACUAAUUUUUUUUAUUAAAUCAGUGGCAGAGUUAAAACUAAAUGAUACUGAAGUAAAUAUUCGAUAAAUUUAGGUAGGUAUCUGAAGUUUUUUUGUAUAUAAUUUAAUAAAAUAUUAAUGAAAAAAUGAUGAAAAGAUAAAAAUAAAACUACAAAUACUAAUUUGAUAUACUUUAAAUUAUAGAAUAUUAAAAUAAGAAAAGCGUGACAUGAGUGAUAUUUGAAAAUUACCCUAUAUUUUAAUUUCAUCUAAAAUAUAAAGUAAGAUAAAUAAAAAAUAUGAAAUAAAUAAUGGACCCGAUGUAGGCAUAUAUGUCGUCGGUGGUGUGCUGGAUGNUAAUCCUAUCCUGUAGUUUUUUUUUUUGUGUGAAUUUUAGUAAUAACAAAAAUGAAAUUAAUAAGAUUAGUGAAAAAAAAAUAUGAGUCGGUCAAUAAGAGAGUUAUAGGAUUAGAAACAAAAAGUUGAUUAUAAAAGGAACUGUUUCGUUCCAUUUCUCUUACUUCUCACUGUCUUUUUUGGGAUCGCAAGCGGUGGGCGUAAAUGGUCCGGAGCAGAGAAAUUGUGACCGUACUUUUAGUAAAUUACACUUUUAGUUCUCAAAUUAUGAGAUACUGAUUAUUUUACUAGUAAAAUUUAAUUCAUUAUAAUUUUUAGCUUAAAUUUUUUAAAAUUAUACAGACCGUUCCUAACGUAAAUGACAAAAGAUUUGAUGGUUGAUACCCGGUGUUUAGUUUGAAUACUAAUUGAUUUAUAUUUCUAGCUAAGUUUAUUCUUAAAUGAAAUAAACGAAUCGGAUAGCAUCCUAUCUAUCUCUUAAAAAAAACAAUUCUGAAUUAUUAUAGUGAAGCAGUCUCACAGUUUAAAUUAAUUUAUUUACUAAAUAUCGAUACGUUUUAAGUCUGAUAGUGAUAUUGUAUCUUAAUUACUAUCAAUCAUCAACCAUAACACUAUUACAUACUUAAUUGGACCAUAAGUUUGAUUGCAUUAAAAUAAAAAAAUUUAAGUAAAAAAUAAUAAAUAAAUUAAAGUUUGAGCACUACCAUCUCACACGCUUUGAAAACCAAAAAUGUUGUCUAGUCAAAAAAACCAUUUGCACUGAUCUUGUUUGCUAGUUAUCCCUAGGGAUUGUGGGAUUGAUUGUUGGAUAUGCAGCCCAUAUUCAUCAACUAUCAAUUGGGAAGAUUACAAAAAAAUUUUCAUGGCAAAUUUCAUCACUUUUUCUCAAUAUUGAAUGAGAAAAAUUUUAAAAAUUUCAAAAUUUUUAAAACAUUUUAAGAUAUAAAAUUUCAAAUUAAGCCUAAAUCCUUAGACCCAAAUUUAAAUACAUAAGAAGGCUUAAUCCCCUGGGCUUAUAAAAAAAAAAAAAAAGAAGAUCAAUUCUGUUUCUUCCAUGCGGUUAAGUGAACUAUUUUACAACCACCAACUUUUAUUCAUUUUUUUUAUUGUGAUAUUUAUUUUUUUGAGAGAUAGGUAGCAAUAUACCCACUUCGUUUACUUCAUUUAGAAAUAAAUUUAGCUGAAAAUGUGAAUCAAUUAGGAUUUGAACUUGAGACUUUUAGAUACCAACUACCAAGUUCCUUACCGCUUGCGUUAGAAACGGUUAGUAAAAUAUGAUUUUUAGGAAUAAAUUACAGUUUUGGUCCUCCAAGUAGAUGGUACGUCAUAUUUAAUCUUCAAACCUUAAUUUACCAUACUUUUUUACCUCGAUUUUUUAUAUUGUUAUAAUCAAAUUCCACAAUAUAGUUUAACGUAUAAAUCAUACAAAAGCAAAUUGAGAAACUGGACACAUUAAUUGAAUCAAAACCUCUAUGGUACAAUUAGCUUGGAAAAUACUGCUUGGCCUAUAGAACAAUUUCUUGUGCAUUAAAUGUAAAUGCUAUGGAACCGCAAUUGCAGGCUCACAUAAAUUAUUUUAUUCACCUAGGUUCUGAUAAAACUGAUGCAGGAGGAACAAACAAAGAGCCUGGACGAUCGUCUCCGCUAGACAUUACUGUACUAGUAGCUACAAAAUCGUAUUCAAGACUAGUUUCCACACCGGUCGCUCCUUCCAGAACCUUCACUACUGUAGACAUCGGAGGCCUUCUACUACUAUCGAUCUGCAGGCACCACAUCGCGAGUUUCAUCAUUUCAAUCACUUCUUCUUCGGGCAACUUUAUAUCUUUGUUGGAACAAUCGACUAUAUCCAACAACCGACCGGCUUUAACUUUCUCUUGCAACAAGCUAAUUAGAUGAAUACUCUCUUCAGGCUGAGAAUAAUCCAAGUUCUUUCUCCCACACAAAAUCUCCAUUACGACGAUACCAAAGCUAUAGAUGUCGACCUUUUCUGUGAUCUUCGAAGUCAACCACUCCGGCGCUAGGUACCCCGGCGUGCCUCUCAUUCGAGUCAUUACCUGGCUUUGAUCUCUGUCGAUUAGCUUCGAUAAUCCAAAAUCGGAUACUUUAGCAUUGAGAUUUUGGUCCAAGAGGAUAUUUUGCGGCUUGAUGUCUAAGUGGGCAAUCUUUUGCCUGCACUCUUCGUGAAGAUACGAAAGACCCCUUGCUAUGUCUAAGAUGAUUUUGCGCCGAGUAUGCCAAUCAAGAAGGGAGAUUCGAUCCGCAUUGAAGAUCCAUUUAUCAAGCGAGCCGUUGCACAUGAAUUCGUAAACAAGAAGCCUAUGCGUUUUCUCAGCACAAAAUCCAACCAUCUUUGCUAGGUUAAUGUGGUGAAUGCUACCAAUAGUCUCAACCUCGGCUAAAAAUUCUUUCCUCCCUUGGCCUAUCCCAUCCAAACGCUUCACGGCGAUCUUUUCGUCGCCAAUUUUCCCCUCGAAAACCGACCCAAAUCCUCCCUCUCCGAGCUUCCUAGAGAAGUUCUCGGUAGCCUCUUUCAAUUCCUUGUAUGAAAACCGCCUUGGCAUUCCCGGGACUCGAUCCAAAAGUUCCUCCUCCUCCUCUUCCUCUUUGCUGCAUCUCCUUAGCCCAAGCACAAUUGCAAUGAUAAUUAACACUAUGAAAACUCCAGGUAGCACGAUACCCAGCACAAUUCCUGUUUUAGACUGCUUCUUAGUAAAAUCCGGGCUUUUCGAAGGGGCAGAAGCAGGGGGUGAGAGGACUCUCUGCACCUUAACGUAUGCAGAAGAACUGUAAUGACUUAUCGCCGGUUGAUUCGUCUGCAUCGAGAAGAUCUCCGACGGCAAGUAGCAGCUACCAUGAGUAGUAUUUCCCCCACCGAACUGAAAAAACGCGGCUUUGCACGAACAAUUCUUCAAACAAGCCGUCCUGCAACUCUCUUCGCUGACCAUACUCUGAAACGCGGCCGCAUCGGGGUCGACAUAAUUGAAGUAAGAGACGUUAGUGAGAGGCAACAAUUCAUGAUCAUAUGAAAAUUCACAAGAUAAAGGAGUCAACGGCUCGCAACCGAGAUUAGCUUCCCGGUCGUUGACUUGCUGGAAAUAGUCAGUCGAAGGGCAGCUGCAUUGUCCGCCGCCCGUGCAAAUGCCGUAAUCGCCGCACACCGUCGGAUAAGCGCAGUUGUCGGGGUACACAUCGAGCACGUCCUGCACCACCCUCCACCCGGCGAUGCUGUAGUCGUAGAGCCUCAGGUGCCCGUCGGACUCGAACCUCAUGUACUGAGCCAACUUCGCCGGGGGUAGCGAGAUCGACGCACUGGGCUCGCCUGGUUGUGUGAAGGGAACGAAGACGGACAGGCUACCGUUGGUGAAGGUGACGGACGCCGACUUGUUCACGGCUUUCGCUCCGGUGAUGCCGUACUCGUAGUAGAGCUGCGGGGGAUCGGAGUCGACGUAGGCGCGGAAACCGUCGCGGAAGACGGCGAGGUAGAGUCUACUCUGGGUGAAAUUUACGGCGGAGACGUUGGCGGUGAGGCGCAUCCCUUCGGCAAGCGACUGGCCGAUGACGAGCGUGUCGGUGGGGUGGUCGAAGGACUGCCAGACAGGCGCGUUGGCGCGAUCGAAGAGCAGCAAGUUUCCGGCCUCUGUGAGGUUGAGACCUGCCACGCGUUUGUUCGACGUGUUCGUGGACCACACGAGGGAGUCGUCGACGUCGCGGAGAAUCAAGUCGCCGGCUUGGGUGAGCUGGAGCGUGGCGUUCUCGCGGACGGGGCGGGCGCGGUUGGCGGACCAGACGACCUGUCGGUGCGAUGGAACGGGGACGUAGCCAUAGCCGUGGGCGGCGCUGUAGCCGAUGAAUACGGAGAAGAGGAAGGCGUCGCAAGCGGCGACGCAGAAGAAGCCGCAGGCGAAGGAGGGGCCGAAUCCGGCGGGGUUGAGGCGGAGAAGGAUGGCGCGGACGGAGGAGCCGUCGGCGAAGGUGACGUUGUGGUGGAGGACGGAGGGGUUGUUGGUCCACACGGUAGAGAGGUUGGCGGUCGGAUAGUCGUAGGGAUUGGCGUGCGCGCGGAGAAAGCUGAGGAGAAAGCAAGAGGCGAUCGCGAGGAGGGAGAGGCAGCGGCGCCGGAGAAGCCACAUGGUGGUGGUGGUGGUGGUGGUGGAUUAGUGGGUGGGGUGGAAAAUUCAAGAUCCAUGAGCCGAUCUAUACAUUGCUUUAUUAGAAUAUUCACACUAGCUAGAAUGGUCAUUGCCUGCUCUCGGUGCAUUCACGCGCACAUAUCUGGUAUCAAUCUUCUGCUCUACACCAGCUACUUGUUUCAUCGUAUACUUUAGAAAAAAAAUUCAAUGAUUUUACACUUACUAACUUUAUUAUCUUGUGGUUUAAAAGUGUAUCAAUUUAGUACUCUGUGAUUUCAAUUUUAUUUUUUAUCAUCGAUUCUACUAAUUUUUUUUAUUAAAUCAGUGGCAGAGUUAAAACUAAAUGAUACUGAAGUAAAUAUUCGAUAAAUUUAGGUAGGUAUCUGAAGUUUUUUUGUAUAUAAUUUAAUAAAAUAUUAAUGAAAAAAUGAUGAAAAGAUAAAAAUAAAACUACAAAUACUAAUUUGAUAUACUUUAAAUUAUAGAAUAUUAAAAUAAGAAAAGCGUGACAUGAGUGAUAUUUGAAAAUUACCCUAUAUUUUAAUUUCAUCUAAAAUAUAAAGUAAGAUAAAUAAAAAAUAUGA